AUGAUUUUAUCGAAAAAAAUAAAAAAUCAACAUAAUUUUCAUCGUGAUGAAACAAAUAAACACAAUUGUAUCGACACAUAUUUUGCUCUGCAUUCCUCUGCAUAUUUUGUUUGAGUUGCGAAGUUAAUAUUUAAAGGAAUUUUGCUGUGAUUGUGCUGUACAUUAUCGGUGUGUAAUAUCUACUAGAUAUGGCUGAACAACAAGUUGACGGACCUCCAAAUAAGAAGCAGAAAGUUGGUAGUUCUAGUACCUCAACUGAUAAUGAAUUAG
Paramuricea clavata is the source of this 270-nucleotide non-coding RNA. The record is from the annotation of a GenBank genome assembly. NCBI's taxonomy places the organism in Eukaryota, Metazoa, Cnidaria, Anthozoa, Malacalcyonacea, Plexauridae.